RNAcentral lists this ribosomal RNA (404 nucleotides) under uncultured bacterium. RNAcentral describes it as "bacterial SSU rRNA". It matches the Rfam family "Bacterial small subunit ribosomal RNA", at positions 360 to 773 of the family's 1533-position model. The record is from RNAcentral.
AAUAUUGCACAAUGGGCGCAAGCCUGAUGCAGCGACACCGCGUGGGGGAUGAAGGCCUUCGGGUUGUAAACUCCUUUCGCUAGGGACGAAGCUUUGUUGUGACGGUACCUAGAUAAGAAGCACCGGCUAACUACGUGCCAGCAGCCGCGGUAAUACGUAGGGUGCGAGCGUUGUCCGGAAUUACUGGGCGUAAAGAGCUCGUAGGUGGUUUGUCGCGUCGUCUGUGAAAUUCCGGGGCUUAACUUCGGGCGUGCAGGCGAUACGGGCAAUACUUGAGUGCUGUAGGGGAGACUGGAAUUCCUGGUGUAGCGGUGGAAUGCGCAGAUAUCAGGAGGAACACCGAUGGCGAAGGCAGGUCUCUGGGCAGUAACUGACGCUGAGGAGCGAAAGCAUGGGUAGCGAAC